AUCCAGGCUUUUAUCAAAGCCAUCUAAAACUAAUAGUGACUUCCUAU
Sus scrofa (pig) is the source of this 47-nucleotide non-coding RNA. Lineage: Eukaryota; Metazoa; Chordata; Mammalia; Artiodactyla; Suidae. The record is from Rfam.